Long non-coding RNA from Etheostoma spectabile (orangethroat darter), 1497 nucleotides. RefSeq lists it as uncharacterized. The record is from RefSeq and is a predicted model, not a curated record. NCBI's taxonomy places the organism in Eukaryota, Metazoa, Chordata, Actinopteri, Perciformes, Percidae. The transcript is spliced from 2 exons.
CCUCCCCUCCCAUUUCAAACCAAUCAUAUAACUAGUCCCGCCCCGGCUGCUUGCGGCCCUGGUCGUGUGAAAUUCACAUUGAAAUCGCCCCCUGUCCGACCCACAUUCGACCCGCCCCUCGACCUGGGCCGGGACGCUGAGCCGAUCGAUGAGGGUUGAGACGCCGACACAUUUUCCGGCAAAACCGCCCAAAACCGCGCAAAACAGUUGCGUUGACCUUUCUAGGCGCACCCAUGGGUGCAACCAAUUCCAGAACAUUCCUGCGCUGUGCUUUGGCCUCUUUGCUCUGCGCCCUACCUUGCGGUUUUGCCGCGGAUUGUGUGCAGGCGGCUUUAACCCUUUCAAACACACUCUGGUUUAACCCUGGUUGAGCCCCCGGUGUGACAAGGGCAUUAGGGUCUCCAUUAAUGAAUGGAGUUUCAAAAAAGGCUAAAAAGCCAUUAUUUCAAUGGCUAUUUCAUAUCUAAUUUCAUAUUACUAAUUGUAAAGUAUGAAAGAGUUCAAUGGACCGUUCUCUUUUGAGUUCACUUUAUUUAUUUAUUUGAACUUCAGAGCACUCCAGACUUUUUUUCUUUCUAAAUGAAUGGAGUUGGUUCAACUCCCAUGACCUGAUGGUUGUAUAAUAUUGGUUGGAGGUCCAAAGAUGGAUCUUUCUCUCCAGCUGUGCACUCACUCCAUGAGCAUUGUGACGCUGCGAGUGCGUCUGCUCCGUUGUUCAGACGGCCGAUCUCUGUUUGCGAUGCUCAUCCAGUCUGCGAAGACUCUGAGAUUUGGUUAAAAGCUCCAAAAACCGAUUGAUUCUCCUCUGCAUGUAGAGUAAGCAGCUCCACUGCAACAGUUCACUGCAACUAUCCCACCUCUGGACUACUGUCCAAUGCGUGCCACGCACUACUGUUGUAGCAUCAGAGCUUAAAGUAGAGCUGCAAAAUGAAUCAAUUGUCAACAAUAACAAUAAGUAAUCACCAACUAUUUUGUUAAUCAAUAAGUCAAAUUGUUUUUUUCAUGAAAAAGUGAAAACGUCUGAUUCCAGCAACUUAAAUUUGAAUAUUUUCUACUUCUUCACUAAACUAAAUAUCUCUGAGUUGUGGACAAAACAAGACGUUUGAGGACGUCAUCUUGGGCUUUUUGGGGAAACACUGAUCCACAUGUUUCCCCAUUUUUUAACAUUUUAACCUUUUGAUUUUUUUUUCCAGAAAAUAAUCAGAUUAUUCAACAAUGAAAAUAAUUGAUAGUUAGAUAAAUCACAGUUCCUGUCAACUUGAAAAGCAUCUGGAUGCAGGAUGCAUCUAUUCAACACUUCACUUGUAUAGGUAGUAUCCCUUUAAGGCCUUUGACUUAUUUCCAGUGUACCUUUUGUGAUUUAGUUCCAUCUUUAGUGUUUGGUUACAACAUCAUGUUCAUCAGGCUGUUACAGUUAUAACUUCUAGUCGGUGUUUGUGCACAUAUACAGAACUGUCAUUUUUGACUUUAUUUUCUAAUGACAAUAAAAUCAUUGCU